This 469-nucleotide ribosomal RNA is filed under the name uncultured Propionivibrio sp. Its description in RNAcentral is "bacterial SSU rRNA". It matches the Rfam family "Bacterial small subunit ribosomal RNA", at positions 916 to 1381 of the family's 1533-position model. Lineage: Bacteria; Pseudomonadati; Pseudomonadota; Betaproteobacteria; Rhodocyclales; Rhodocyclaceae. The record is from RNAcentral.
ACGGGACCCGCACAAGCGGUGGAUGAUGUGGAUUAAUUCGAUGCAACGCGAAAAACCUUACCUACCCUUGACAUGUCCGGAAUCCCGAAGAGAUUUGGGAGUGCUCGCAAGAGAACCGGAACACAGGUGCUGCAUGGCUGUCGUCAGCUCGUGUCGUGAGAUGUUGGGUUAAGUCCCGCAACGAGCGCAACCCUUGUCAUUAGUUGCCAUCAUUUGGUUGGGCACUCUAAUGAGACUGCCGGUGACAAACCGGAGGAAGGUGGGGAUGACGUCAAGUCCUCAUGGCCCUUAUGGGUAGGGCUUCACACGUCAUACAAUGGUCGGUACAGAGGGUUGCCAAGCCGCGAGGUGGAGCCAAUCCCAGAAAGCCGAUCGUAGUCCGGAUUGUUCUCUGCAACUCGAGAGCAUGAAGUCGGAAUCGCUAGUAAUCGCGGAUCAGCAUGUCGCGGUGAAUACGUUCCCGGGUCUU